AUUAACUUGGGGCAUUUCCCCCCCCAGCGUUCAUAGCGACGUUGCUUUUUGAUCCUUCGAUGUCGGCUCUUUCUAACAUUGUGAAGCAGAAUUCACCAAGUGUUGGAUUGUUCACCUACCAAUAAAAAACGUGAGCUGGGUUUAGACCGUCGUGAGACAGGUU
RNAcentral lists this non-coding RNA (163 nucleotides) under Zostera marina. RNAcentral's name for it is "Eukaryotic large subunit ribosomal RNA". It matches the Rfam family "Eukaryotic large subunit ribosomal RNA", at positions 2829 to 2984 of the family's 3401-position model. Lineage: Eukaryota; Viridiplantae; Streptophyta; Magnoliopsida; Alismatales; Zosteraceae. The record is from Rfam by way of RNAcentral.